RNAcentral lists this ribosomal RNA (712 nucleotides) under bacterium enrichment culture clone Ecwsrb058. Its description in RNAcentral is "bacterial SSU rRNA". It matches the Rfam family "Bacterial small subunit ribosomal RNA", at positions 792 to 1504 of the family's 1533-position model. The record is from RNAcentral.
AGUCCACGCCGUAAACGAUGUCGACUUGGAGGUUGUGCCCUUGAGGCGUGGCUUCCGGAGCUAACGCGUUAAGUCGACCGCCUGGGGAGUACGGCCGCAAGGUUAAAACUCAAAUGAAUUGACGGGGGCCCGCACAAGCGGUGGAGCAUGUGGUUUAAUUCGAUGCAACGCGAAGAACCUUACCUGGUCUUGACAUCCACAGAAUUUUCCAGAGAUGGAUUGGUGCCUUCGGGAACUGUGAGACAGGUGCUGCAUGGCUGUCGUCAGCUCGUGUUGUGAGAUGUUGGGUUAAGUCCCGCAACGAGCGCAACCCUUAUCCUUUGUUGCCAGCGGUCCGGCCGGGAACUCAAAGGAGACUGCCAGUGAUAAACUGGAGGAAGGUGGGGAUGACGUCAAGUCAUCAUGGCCCUUACGACCAGGGCUACACACGUGCUACAAUGGCGCAUACAAAGAGAAGCGACCUCGCGAGAGCAAGCGGACCUCAUAAAGUGCGUCGUAGUCCGGAUUGGAGUCUGCAACUCGACUCCAUGAAGUCGGAAUCGCUAGUAAUCGUGGAUCAGAAUGCCACGGUGAAUACGUUCCCGGGCCUUGUACACACCGCCCGUCACACCAUGGGAGUGGGUUGCAAAAGAAGUAGGUAGCUUAACCUUCGGGAGGGCGCUUACCACUUUGUGAUUCAUGACUGGGGUGAAGUCGUAACAAGGUAGCCGUA